AGAUGGACAUGCUAAUGAACA
RNAcentral lists this microRNA (21 nucleotides) under Solanum tuberosum (potato). Its description in RNAcentral is "stu-miR8048-3p". Lineage: Eukaryota; Viridiplantae; Streptophyta; Magnoliopsida; Solanales; Solanaceae. The record is from miRBase by way of RNAcentral.